AGAGUUUGAUCCUGGCUCAGGACGAACGCUGGCGGCGCGCCUAACACAUGCAAGUCGAACGAGCGAGAGAGAGCUUGCUUUCUCGAGCGAGUGGCGAACGGGUGAGUAACGCGUGAGGAACCUGCCUCAAAGAGGGGGACAACAGUUGGAAACGACUGCUAAUACCGCAUAAGCCCACGGUGCCGCACUGGCACAGAGGGAAAAGGAAGGACGAAAUCCG
RNAcentral lists this ribosomal RNA (220 nucleotides) under uncultured bacterium. RNAcentral describes it as "partial 16S ribosomal RNA". It matches the Rfam family "Bacterial small subunit ribosomal RNA", at positions 8 to 217 of the family's 1533-position model. The record is from RNAcentral.